GCCGUGGCUGCGGUGCGUGGCGCUGACCUAUCCCGUGCUGGCGCCGCUGCCGGGCUGGGGGCUCGUGGACUCCCGGUUCCGCCCCGUGGCCGCGGUG
This 97-nucleotide transfer RNA is filed under the name Streptomyces hiroshimensis. RNAcentral describes it as "tRNA-Ala". Lineage: Bacteria; Bacillati; Actinomycetota; Actinomycetes; Kitasatosporales; Streptomycetaceae. The record is from RNAcentral.